RNAcentral lists this long non-coding RNA (2401 nucleotides) under Gallus gallus (chicken). RNAcentral's name for it is "lncRNA (ENSGALG00010010325.1)". The record is from RNAcentral. Lineage: Eukaryota; Metazoa; Chordata; Aves; Galliformes; Phasianidae.
UAAAAGGCCAUUUUGACGAAAUAGCUGUUAUAUGGGAAGGAUAAAUAUGCAGCUAUAACGUUAAAGAGACAACAGAGUCAACAUGAUUGUUUUGACAUCGGGGAUUCUCAUGACAAAAAGGAGGUGGGAGGGUGGAACUGAUGAGUGAUGGCACAUCAGGAGCCUGCGAGCAACAGAAACGAAAGCAAAAGUUGAGGGUGAAGUGGAGAUGGUGGAAAAACCUCUUACACCUCUGUGUGGCUGGAAACCCCUGAGACAACUCGUGAUGUCACGCGUGGCUGUGUCACCUGCUGCGUGUCAUAUUUCCAGGGGACGUCUGCAAUCUCCUUUCCAGUGGGCAAAAAAAAAAGCUGCCUGAAAAUUGUGGCUAUCUUCAGAAAUUGUCACUUCACCUCUCCCCCCGGCUCUGUGGGUUGCUGGUCUUCCAUGGGUGAGAAUGGGAAAGCGCUAAUGAGGUAUUAGUGCUGGAAAGUGUUAAUGACUUGGGUGGGAGGUUUACUCCCCAGAAUGUGGUCUUUUUGCUCAGAGCCACUGAGAUCAGCUGGGGCACCUGUGUGCAUCCAACAGCAAUGCGUAGGGAUCCUGGCUCCACAGUGGCCCUGUGGGACCCCAGUGCAGAAAAUAAAUGGAUUUACCUUAUUAAUAGAAGAGCCAGAAAAGAGAUGUGUAACUUUUUCUUCUCUUUCAGCGGCUGUACUUUCUGUAACAACAGGAGGUGAGAUGUGUGUAGGCAGAAGCUGACAGUGCUGUCUCAAUAACAUCUUCCUACCAUCUCCCAAGGCCAAAACGACUCAUACAUGGCCCAGACAAACACCUUCUUGGUGGACUUCCCCACCAUGAGUGAGAAAUGCAGGUGUUUGGGGGCCACUGUCACCAUGAAACAUGAGGACCUACACACACCUCUUGUGGCAGCUGCAGAAAAGGCUGUGCUCAUCCUCACCUUAUGAAUGCCCACUUCCGUACAGUGGAAUUAUGGGAGGAAUGACAUCAGCAUUAGAAGAGAUAGCGGAGUUGCCCUGGUAAUGGAUUUGCCCCAUAGAUCAUUACAUGUCACCAUGUCAUCAGAAAUCAUCUGUCAACAGCUAAGAUUUUAGCAGCUCAUAUCUUACCUGCACUGGAGGAAACCCAAGGAAGACAGGAGUUUGUUAUGUUAUGUGAAGGGGAGCUGUCAUUAAUGAACUCCUUUUAAUUGUCCUGGGUGACUGAGAAGAUAACACCCUCAUAGGGGAGUUGGAAAAGCAGGAUCUCAACGCUGUUUGCUGAAGAGGACAGAGCCAUUAUCCUCUCUUGAACUGGAAAGAAGGGCCAGGACUCUCAAAUUCACAGUAUAUCCAGGGAAACAAGAGCUUACAGAAUGACAAAAUAUUGCAAGAAAAAAAGGAAAAAAGAAAUGCAUCCAGACUUCACCCUAAAGAAGGAGAAAAUAGAAAUCUAGAUUUAAACAUACGGGAAGCUGCACGAAAAAAAAGAGUUUUUGUCUUCUCUCUCUGUUUCAAGAAAGCAAUGAAAGUGCUAGAAGAGUUUGAAUAUGCCAUGUCCACUUUGAAGACAACAAAGAACUUUUCAUCCAAGAGAAGGUUCGGAACAUCUAGCCAUGAGACAAGGAAUCUUCUGGCUGGAGCUUUUUGUAAUCCAUGGGAUUAUUUUUUAUAUAAAAGGCAAGAGGUACCACUAGGAGCUGGCAUGGAUGUGGACUGCACAUAAAAAGAUCAGCAUCUGAUCAGCAUCAUAAAAUGGUAGCUGAUGAUUGGCAACAAACAAAAAACGGAGCUUCCCUGGAGGUGUACCAGUUCCAUGAGCCUCCUGCCAGCUGAGCAGCACUGAUGCCAACAGUGGAGAAUAAGUAUUUCUCUGUGUCCUUACAGGCCAAGAGUAUGUGCAGUAAGGGACCACAGCACCUUUUGGGUCUGGAGCUGAUAUUGGGCCACCUCUCCGAACCAUUCUAGAAGAAGUCACCCUGGGUAAAAAAAUAAACACUUGGCCUACUUUCAUGAGAAUAUUCAUUCUUAUACAUUUUUAUCAUUUUCCCUCUCAUUCACCCUCCUAAAGAUAAGCAGUCCUGGUCUUUAACAAUUCUGUAUUUUGGUAUCCUACUUUGAUCCCUACAGUUCCACAGUUCCCUUUUGGUGUGUUGUAACAAAUGCUGCAUCCUCUGUUCCAGGAACAGCUACACAAUCAGUUUAUUAUGCACCGUGUGUCUGGCACUGUUCUUUAUGCUGCUCCACAUGCUUGCAAUUCCCAGUCAACCUUUUUCAAUCUUUUUUUUUUUUUCUUUCUUUCUUUUGUGUAGCUGAACAUGGAGCCAAAAUCUUCACCACGCAAUACUGAAAGAGCCAUAUCUUUAUUUCAUUGAAACUAAUGAUUUCGAAACCUUCAGGCGUUGUGACUACUUGACUUCUUU